AGAAAAGUUGCUUAACACCAUGAGGCUAGUAACCCUCAACUGUGGAACAUCACUGCAUGAUCUUUGCAAGAACGGUCCAUUCUCUUCAGCUGUAGUGUGACUGCUUCGUGAGGAAGGAAGAUGCAGUUUAUGUCUGUAGAGACAAAUCUGAAUCAGGAGCUGUCAAUGGGAUGUGCAAAGCUGUUAGCUGACGUUAUUCAUUGCUGUAAAAGCCCUGAAGUAAUGGAAGAGUCAAUUGUGACUGGAAAUGGAAGAAAUGAUGCAUCAGAAAAGAAAGGAUGCUGUUCAGUACGAAGUGACUUUAAUUGCAGAGUGAGACAGCCCAGAGAGCUAUGCUAACACAGUGCCUUCAACAUCGAUCCAACCUUGAUGCUUCAAACCUUCUCAUCAUCUCCUGCCGUAUUUAUGCUCUGCACAAACAUCGUAAAGAGUGACAAAAAAACAGCAGAAGAAAGCAAAAUGUUGGGAAAAGGACACAGUGCAGGAGGCAAAGUCUUGGAGC
Long non-coding RNA from Pogoniulus pusillus (Red-fronted tinkerbird), 502 nucleotides. RefSeq lists it as uncharacterized. NCBI's taxonomy places the organism in Eukaryota, Metazoa, Chordata, Aves, Piciformes, Lybiidae. The record is from RefSeq and is a predicted model, not a curated record. The transcript has 5 exons.